CUUUAUUGGAGAGUUUGAUCCUGGCUCAGGAUGAACGCUGGCGGCGUGCCUAAUACAUGCAAGUCGAGCGAAUGGAUUAAGAGCUUGCUCUUAUGAA
This 97-nucleotide ribosomal RNA is filed under the name Bacillus sp. M13(2017). RNAcentral describes it as "partial 16S ribosomal RNA". It matches the Rfam family "Bacterial small subunit ribosomal RNA", at positions 1 to 92 of the family's 1533-position model. The record is from RNAcentral. Lineage: Bacteria; Bacillati; Bacillota; Bacilli; Caryophanales; Bacillaceae.